Molecule: ribosomal RNA, 292 nt
Filed under: uncultured bacterium
Lineage: Bacteria
Description: partial 16S ribosomal RNA
Rfam family: Bacterial small subunit ribosomal RNA
Source: RNAcentral
GUGCCAGCAGCCGCGGUAAUGCGAAGGUGGCAAGCGUUACUCGGAAUUACUAGGCGUAAAGGGCAGGUAGGUGGUCUGAUAAGUCUGUUGUGUAAGCUCCCGGCUUAACUGGGAGAGGUCAACAGAUACUGUCAGGCUAGAGUAUAGGAGAGGUUACUGGAAUUCCCGGUGUAGCGGUGAAAUGCGCAGAUAUCGGGAGGAACACCAAUGGCGAAAGCAGGUAACUGGACUAUUACUGACACUCAGCUGCGAAAGCUAGGGGAGCAAACAGGAUUAGAUACCCCGGUAGUCC